This 990-nucleotide ribosomal RNA is filed under the name Escherichia coli. RNAcentral describes it as "partial 23S ribosomal RNA". It matches the Rfam family "Bacterial large subunit ribosomal RNA", at positions 1917 to 2901 of the family's 2925-position model. Lineage: Bacteria; Pseudomonadati; Pseudomonadota; Gammaproteobacteria; Enterobacterales; Enterobacteriaceae. The record is from RNAcentral.
GCCCCGGUAAACGGCGGCCGUAACUAUAACGGUCCUAAGGUAGCGAAAUUCCUUGUCGGGUAAGUUCCGACCUGCACGAAUGGCGUAAUGAUGGCCAGGCUGUCUCCACCCGAGACUCAGUGAAAUUGAACUCGCUGUGAAGAUGCAGUGUACCCGCGGCAAGACGGAAAGACCCCGUGAACCUUUACUAUAGCUUGACACUGAACAUUGAGCCUUGAUGUGUAGGAUAGGUGGGAGGCUUUGAAGUGUGGACGCCAGUCUGCAUGGAGCCGACCUUGAAAUACCACCCUUUAAUGUUUGAUGUUCUAACGUUGGCCCGUAAUCCGGGUUGCGGACAGUGUCUGGUGGGUAGUUUGACUGGGGCGGUCUCCUCCUAAAGAGUAACGGAGGAGCACGAAGGUUGGCUAAUCCUGGUCGGACAUCAGGAGGUUAGUGCAAUGGCAUAAGCCAGCUUGACUGCGAGCGUGACGGCGCGAGCAGGUGCGAAAGCAGGUCAUAGUGAUCCGGUGGUUCUGAAUGGAAGGGCCAUCGCUCAACGGAUAAAAGGUACUCCGGGGAUAACAGGCUGAUACCGCCCAAGAGUUCAUAUCGACGGCGGUGUUUGGCACCUCGAUGUCGGCUCAUCACAUCCUGGGGCUGAAGUAGGUCCCAAGGGUAUGGCUGUUCGCCAUUUAAAGUGGUACGCGAGCUGGGUUUAGAACGUCGUGAGACAGUUCGGUCCCUAUCUGCCGUGGGCGCUGGAGAACUGAGGGGGGCUGCUCCUAGUACGAGAGGACCGGAGUGGACGCAUCACUGGUGUUCGGGUUGUCAUGCCAAUGGCACUGCCCGGUAGCUAAAUGCGGAAGAGAUAAGUGCUGAAAGCAUCUAAGCACGAAACUUGCCCCGAGAUGAGUUCUCCCUGAGACUUAGAGUCUCCUGAAGGAACGUUGAAGACGACGACGUUGAUAGGCCGGGUGUGUAAGCGCAGCGAUGCGUUGAGCUAACCGGUAC